Molecule: ribosomal RNA, 294 nt
Filed under: uncultured bacterium
Lineage: Bacteria
Description: partial 16S ribosomal RNA
Rfam family: Bacterial small subunit ribosomal RNA
Source: RNAcentral
GGAUUAGAUACCCUGGUAGUCCACGCCGUAAACGAUGUCGACUAGUUGUUGGAGAUCUUAGUAUCUUUGGUGACGAAGCUAACGCGAUAAGUCGACCGCCUGGGGAGUACGGCCGCAAGGUUAAAACUCAAAUGAAUUGACGGGGGCCCGCACAAGCGGUGGAGCAUGUGGUUUAAUUCGAAGCAACGCGAAGAACCUUACCUGGUCUUGACAUCCUGCGAACUUUCCAGAGAUGGAUUGGUGCCUUCGGGAGCGCAGUGACAGGUGCUGCAUGGCUGUCGUCAGCUCGUGCUG